RNAcentral lists this ribosomal RNA (465 nucleotides) under Vreelandella stevensii. RNAcentral's name for it is "partial 16S ribosomal RNA". It matches the Rfam family "Bacterial small subunit ribosomal RNA", at positions 338 to 795 of the family's 1533-position model. Lineage: Bacteria; Pseudomonadati; Pseudomonadota; Gammaproteobacteria; Oceanospirillales; Halomonadaceae. The record is from RNAcentral.
CCUACGGGGUGCAGCAGUGGGGAAUAUUGGACAAUGGGCGAAAGCCUGAUCCAGCCAUGCCGCGUGUGUGAAGAAGGCCUUCGGGUUGUAAAGCACUUUCAGUGGGGAAGAAAGCCUUGGGGCUAAUACCCUCGAGGAAGGACAUCACCCACAGAAGAAGCACCGGCUAACUCCGUGCCAGCAGCCGCGGUAAUACGGAGGGUGCGAGCGUUAAUCGGAAUUACUGGGCGUAAAGCGCGCGUAGGCGGUCUGAUAAGCCGGUUGUGAAAGCCCCGGGCUCAACCUGGGAACGGCAUCCGGAACUGUCAGGCUAGAGUGCAGGAGAGGAAGGUAGAAUUCCCGGUGUAGCGGUGAAUUGCGUAGAGAUCGGGAGGAAUACCAGUGGCGAAGGCGGCCUUCUGGACUGACACUGACGCUGAGGUGCGAAAGCGUGGGUAGCAAACAGGAUUAGAUACCCUUGUAGUC